AAAGAUGGCGACCGGCGCACGGGUGAGUAACACGUAUCCAACCUGCCGAUAACUCGGGGAUAGCCUUUCGAAAGAAAGAUUAAUACCGGAUAGCAUACGAAUAUCGCAUGAUAUUUUUAUUAAAGAAUUUCGGUUAUCGAUGGGGAUGCGUUCCAUUAGUUUGUUGGCGGGGUAACGGCCCACCAAGACUACGAUGGAUAGGGGUUCUGAGAGGAAGGUCCCCCACAUUGGAACUGAGACACGGUCCAA
This 249-nucleotide ribosomal RNA is filed under the name uncultured bacterium. RNAcentral describes it as "partial 16S ribosomal RNA". It matches the Rfam family "Bacterial small subunit ribosomal RNA", at positions 84 to 334 of the family's 1533-position model. The record is from RNAcentral.